UUAGCAGCUGCCAUCUUGGUGAUUCGUUUUGUGCUGUUUUGGGGGAAAUCUUUUUUUAAAAUCAAAAUUGCAGUGAAAUUUGUCCUUCAUCGCAUCUAAAUCGAAUCCCAUGCCAUAGAGCAGAAAGAGAACUAUGAUUUUCGGUCCCAUUCCAACAUCGUUGAAGAUUCCUCAAUGCGGAUGCUCGCUCCAUGAAAUUUACGCGACGUAGUAAUAGUUGAUCGGCGAUAAGGCACUCCGCGGCCACUCUUCAGAUUCAGGAUUCGUUAUCACGUAACGAAUCUAAUGGUACCCUGCAGAGUCGACGUAGCUACUGUUCUGCCGAGGAAUAAAGAUAUUGUGAACGGAUCUCACAGAAGCUUCCUUGCAAAUAUGAGGGAAGCGAUCUCGCAGCACAUUCGUCGAAUGUUCCUGUCAAGAGUAGGAACUGCAAAUUAAGAAAUCUGAAUUGGAGUGAGGUAACUGACGGCUGAACGGUAACCUGCGAAUUGCAAAUUCGUUUGUUUUUGGCGGUCGAAUCCAGAACGCCAUUAUUUCUUCGUAAUCUAUAUAGUGUAGCUACGGUGUACCUAUCUCUCACUAUAUUCCACGACUGUCCAUCACUCCAAGUUCAUCCAUAGUACGCCAAGAUGGAAGGUGUAAAAUACAUUGAUUGAAACGAAAGAGGAUGCAUCUCCGUGAGAUCCUGGAUGUCUGCAAGAAAUAAAGAUGCAGGAAAUCAUUGAAUCGGGCGGAACGGAGUGUCAAUGAUUCGCACUACGCCGGCCUCGACAUCGGCUUUCUGGUUAGCCAAGGAAGUGGUUAGAAGUAGGCUUUUCAACUUUCGCCGUGCUGUCCUGGAUCGGAACUGCGUGCCCUCGGAGAUAUGACAGUAUGCCACUAGUUCUUCUCAUUAGCUUCUUUUCUACUUCGAAUUGAUCUCAGGGUGCUAACAACAACUUCUGGCUGAGACCGGCCACUACGCUGGGCAAUGAUCCACUUGUUCAACAAGGGCGACCUUCAACAAGGACACCUAUAUUUUGCGUGCGACGAGGAUGGUUAGAAUCUGCCAAGAAGCCUCAUCUGAAGCAUGAGCACCGGGCACCGCUUUUUUGGUAGAAUGCAUAAUUAUUGUUUUUUUCAUGUUCCGUAUUAGACUUAUUCCAAUGAAUAGGAAUUAAAAAGGAAAAUAAAACAAUAUUAUA
This is a long non-coding RNA of Armigeres subalbatus, 1184 nucleotides long. RefSeq lists it as uncharacterized. NCBI's taxonomy places the organism in Eukaryota, Metazoa, Arthropoda, Insecta, Diptera, Culicidae. The transcript has 4 exons. The record is from RefSeq and is a predicted model, not a curated record.